UUCCCGAAAUGCUGGCUCAAGUAGAGCGUCAGCUGGAAGUUGAAAGUCGCCAGCAGUAUCAAGCCUAAGAGGUUGUGCCACCAUCAUGCAAGUACAUCUCAAAAUUCUGCGUGUGACAGUUUACAUAUUCACAAAAGAACUGUUGAUGUAUUCCAAUAGUAACAAGUGUUUAUUAUAAAAUUUUUGAUCUCGCUGUUGCAGCAUUACAGUGGCCUCUGGCGGAUUUUGAACGGCUGCUGAUGGCCGAAAUGCAGCAAAAACAGUUGCCACCAACAGCGCCACCACAACAGUACCGCUGCUGCAUUGGCACCUAGAGCAGUGGUUGUCGCAGCAGGCUUCAGAACGCACCUGAGCGGCAUGCACAGCCGUGCAAAGCGCCACUUGUGGCUGCGCGAGACGCACUGGAAGUACAGUAGCUGCGGCCGCUGCAGUGCCAGUCCCUGCACCGUCGCAUGCCUUCUGGCGUCCAUGGGUGGUUCAAUCAGAGCAACAAUCUCCCACCGCCCAGGUCGGCUGUGGUGAAGGCUCCAGCAUGCAGCAGCAACGAUGAGCGCCCUCUCCACAGCAUGUGUGCUGCCAUAGCAGCUCACCGCCACCACCUCCUCCUACUCUGGCUCCGACUGUUCACCUUCUCUGGCAGCGAAAGGUAUCUGUGCAUCAGCACAGGCCUCUAACCUUAGAAGGCGCCUCCUCCCCAAUGCUGUCAUCCUCGUUUCUCCUGGGUGGUUUUGGGUUUAAAUAAAUGCAAACUAAAUAUUACGAUAAUUUUUAAAAGGAACCGACAAGUUACGCCAAGGAAGAAGAGAGAGAACUACAAUGAACGUGUUAUUCCAUGGACUCUUGCGCUUCUAUGCAUGAACUAUCUUUCCUUUGUCAUUCGCUUAUCUUACCUGCUUGGAUUCGGACCUAAGAGGACGUUCUUGCUGUACCAGCUAAUAAUGUGAGUUGUACUUAAAACCAGAAAUAUAUAUAUAUAUU
Molecule: long non-coding RNA, 978 nt
Organism: Schistocerca gregaria
Lineage: Eukaryota; Metazoa; Arthropoda; Insecta; Orthoptera; Acrididae
Exons: 2
Source: RefSeq, a predicted model, not a curated record